GACGAACGCUGGCGGCGUGCUUAACACAUGCAAGUCGAACGGGCCUGUCUUCUUUUUUGGGGGUGGGUUGAGUGGCGAACGGGUGAGUAUCACGUGAGUAACCUGCCCUUCGGUCCUGGAUAACCGCUUGAAAGGGCGGCUAAUACGGGGUGGUCCGGUUGGUCCGCAUGGGCUGGUCGGGAUAGAUUCACUGUUUUUGGUGUUUCGGCGGGGGAUGGGCUCGCGGCCUAUCAGCUUGUUGGUGGGGUGAUGGCCUACCAAGGCGGUGACGGGUAGCCGGCCGGAGAGGGGGGGCGGCCACACUGGGACUGAGAUACGGCCCAGACUCCUGCGGGAGGCAGCAGUGGGGGGUAUUGCACAAUGGGCGGAAGCCUGAUGCAGCGACGUCGCGUGAGGGAUGGAGGCCUUCGGGUUGUGAACCUCUGUUUCCGGUGGUGAAGGCCCUGUCCGUGUGGUGGGGUUGACGGUAGCCGGGGAUGAAGCGCCGGCUAACUACGUG
RNAcentral lists this ribosomal RNA (499 nucleotides) under uncultured bacterium. Its description in RNAcentral is "partial 16S ribosomal RNA". It matches the Rfam family "Bacterial small subunit ribosomal RNA", at positions 28 to 507 of the family's 1533-position model. The record is from RNAcentral.